This 4707-nucleotide long non-coding RNA is filed under the name Macaca fascicularis (crab-eating macaque). RNAcentral describes it as "lncRNA (ENSMFAG00000049526.1)". The record is from RNAcentral. Lineage: Eukaryota; Metazoa; Chordata; Mammalia; Primates; Cercopithecidae.
UUUUUUUUUUUCAUUUUUUGUUGGUCCAUAUAUUCUAAAUUUUAUUUAUACCUAUAUAUUUGUUACAAGAAUAUAUAACAAUAAAAAGUAAAGGAUAAAAAUCUAUUUAAAAGAAAUAUAAAUUAAAUGGGGAAUACUAUAUGAAAGCAGAAUAGAAAAAGUUCUCAGGAUAUACUGAUACUAGCUAUUGAAGGCAUGAAAGAUAAUGGUUUCUAUUUUGAUGAGAUUAACUGAACAUAAAAGAGUCAGUUAUAGGUUCUGCUAUACAUUUGAUAAUGUCUUAUUAAAUAUUCAUGAUUUCUCUAGAAAAUAGUUCUUCAAAAUAUUUUAACUUUUUGAGUUCAAGAUCUCAGAGGGAGCGUGAGAACAAGAGUGAGGGUGAGAGAGACAGAAAGAGAGAGAGAGAAAUUUUAUCCUUUUGGUCUUCACAAUAAUUUUAUUGUUUUUGUUUUUUGUUUUUUUGAGACAGUUUUGCUCUUUUGCCAGGCGGGAGUGAAGUGGCAAGAUAUUGGCUCACUGCAACCUCCGCCUCCCACGUUCAAGCAAUUCUCCUGCCUCAGCCUCCCGAGUAGCUGGGAUUAUAGGCGCCAGCCACCAAGCCCAACAGUUUUUGUAUUUUUAGUAGAGACAGGGUUUUGCCAUGUUGGCCAGGCUGGUUUUGACCUCCUGACCUCAGGUAAUCCACCCACCUUGGCCUCCCAAAGUGCUAGGAUUACAGGUGUGAGCCACUGCGCCCAGCCUGGAAUUUUAAUAAUACAACAACAAUACAAAAUGUUAACGAAUAAUAUUAGUGUUAUUUACAUCUUUUUUUCUUUUUCUUAGACCAUCUUGCUCUUCUCCAGGCAGGAGUACAGUGGCAUAAUCAUAGCUACCUGUAAUCUCAAACUCCUGGGCUCAAGCAAUCCUCCUACUCCAGCUCCCUAAGCUGGGACUACUAGCACAUGCCACCACACCAACUAACAUUUUGAUUUUUUGUAGAGACAAGGCCUCAUUAUGUCACCCAGGCUGACCUUGAACUUUUGGCCUCAAGUGAUCAUCUUGCCUAGGCCUCCCAAAAUGCUGGGAUUACAGGCAUGAGCCACUGUACCCAGUGGUUUAUCUUAUUAAUAAUUAUUAAUAGUUAUUCCAACACCUUACAGUUGUACAGCAUUCUGCAAUACACAUAUAUCUAUUUUUAUCUUCACAACAAAUUUUUCAGUUUGGAGGAGUCCCCAUUAUUUUACAGACGGAAUUGAGGCUGUUUUAAUUCAUAAAACUCAUAGUCAGUUUUAAAAAUAGAGCUUCUGAUUCCCAAUCCAGCUUUCUUGCCUCUGCAUCAUUUUGUUUAUGUUUAAAAGCUGCCAGCCAGGUGCGGUGGCUCAUGCCUGUAAUCCCAACACUUUGGGACGCCGAGCCGAGUAGAUUACCUGAGGUCAGGAGUUUAAGACCAGCCUGACCAACAUGGUGAAACCCCAUCUCUACGAAAAAUACAAAAAAUUAGCUGGGCGUGGUGGCAGACGUCUGUAAUCCCAGCUACUUGGGAGGCUGAGGCAGGAGAAUCGCUUGAACCGAGGUGGAGGUUGCAGUGAGCCGAGAUCAUGCCAUUGCACUCCAGCCUGGACGACAAAAGCAAAACUCCACUUCAAAAAAAAAAAAAAACAGUUGCCAACUACAAACAAGUUAAGUUCUCCUGGAAACAUCUCAGUCAGUACAGUGCUGUGAGGUACAUUUAAUAGUAAUUUUCCACACAUCAAAAAUAUGAAUACUACUUGCCUAUGUUUUACUUAAUAGGAAUGAGCGUACAGCAUAGAAGUGAUUCAUAACUUUAAAAAAUUCCCUUGGCUUGACUACUAAAUAAAAAUACAUAUUUCUCAAGAUGACAAACAAUAGCAUUUUCUUCUGUGUUUCUGAAAAUGCUUCUUGACUUUAUUCUCUUAGUACUUUUUGGACUUUAAAAUUUAAUAAUGCUAUUUAGUAUAAUGUCAACUUCAUCUAGUUAUUUUUAUAUAUUUUGAGUAAGAUAUUCCAUGGUUCUUAAGAUUCUUAUAAAACAGUUCUGAAAGGAAAACAUUAUUUUGGUAAUAGCUUUAUUGAAAUAUAAUUCACAUCAUAAAAAUCAACCGUGUAAAGUACAAUUCAGUACUUUUUUAGUAUAUCCACAAAGUCAUGCAGCCAUCCCCAUAGAAAAUUUUAGAACAUUUUUAUCACCUCCAAAAGAAAUCUUAUACCCUUAUGGUGACCCUCCAUCCUCCUAUUCCUCCAGCCCAAGGCAACCACUAAUCUACUUUCUGUCCCUAUAGAUUUACCUAUUUCAGACAUUUUAUAUAUAUACAGUUACAUCAUAUGUGGUGUUUUGUAACUGACAUCUUUAACUUAGUAUAAUGCUUUCAAGGUUCAUGCAUGUUGUAGUAUGUGUCAACAUUUCAUUCCUUUUUAUUGCUGAAUAAUAAUUUUUGUAUGGAUAUACAACAUUUGUUCAUCCACUUAGUUGAUGGACAUUUACGUUGUUUCCAGCAUUUGGCUAUUAUAAAUAAUGCUGUUAUGAACAUUCAUGUACAGAUUUGUGUGUGCACAUAUAUUUUCAUUUCUCUUGAGUGUAUCUAGGAGUGGAAUUGUUGGAUCAUAUGGUAACUCUAUAUUUAUCCUUUUGAGGAACUGCCACACUGUUUUCCAAAGCAGCUGCACCAUUUUACAUUCCUACCAGAGAGAAAAAUACUUUUUUUAAGGAGAGAGAAAUGAAGCUAUAUACACUUAAUAAAACGUACUUAAAGGCACAGUAUAUAUAGCUCUCUAGUAACUGAAGUUUCACAAAUUUAAAUUUCCUUUCUCCUUACAGUAAUUUGUUCUACCCCAUAAAUACCUAUGAAUUAAAAAAAAAAAUAGCUCUAGAAUUACUUAAGUAAACUAUAAUGCUGACUUACUUUUAACAAUACUGAAGUCAAUUUCUUGGUGAAGACAUACAUGAAUUUUAAUAAUAAAAAUAUAAAAUAGGUGGCACUCUGUUAACACUAGAUAUUUUCAUUUCUUGUUGGUUACUGUUGAAGAUAUGACAGAAUUUUCAUCGUAGAAUAUAUCACACAAAUUUAGUAUUUGGAGAAAACUGGAGAACCUAAUGAUCUCAAUGAAUGUUCAAAAACUGUUUAUAAUCUAAGAGUCAGGCUAAGUAUCUCAAACUCAUCACAUUUUAAGCCUAGUAAUUUAGAAACCGUAUAUGAGAUCCUGCCAGUUCCAGCCAAUUAAGUCUAAUAAAUACAUGGGUCACUGAUUUGAAAUUCUUCCCUUCUUUUUUCCGAUGGUAAUUUCAGUGUGUGUCUCUCUCUCCUUCCCCAAAUCCAGACCAGUAUUAAUUACGCCAAAUGAAAUGACUACAAAUCAAACAUACAGAAAUAUAAUUUGCCAACGUACUAUCUGCAACACAGAUCUGCUUUUACUUUAUCCCAUAAAUGAGUCUGUAUAUUCCAGGAGAAUGCUCCAAAUGAACUUAAAAAAUGAGUUUAAUGGACAAAGAACCAGAGGUAAGUUCCUAUCCACUUACAGGGACACAAGGCUAAGACAAAGUUCUGUCCUCAAGGACCAUAUGAAAGACAGAACAUGUUGUGCAAACAGUACCUUUAUUUUGCAAUAAAAUUGGAAAGCCAAGUGCUGUUGUGUCAUAGUUGUAGGUAGUUUCUCCAAAAUAGGAACAAGCACAUGUGGUGGUUUCAUUUCACUUUAUUUCAUGAAAAUUACUUAUAACUGGGCAGAAUGACGUCUCACUAUUUUUUUCCCUUUCUGAAUUUUUUAUUGUUCCAGAAAAGCAUGUGGUUUUUAUGGGACCAAGAAUGGAGAGAAAAAAAAGAUUUUCUAAAAGAAAAACUGAUUUAUUUUUAAAAUAUAUCUAAUGUACUAGAAACUGAAAAAGGAAAUAUUUUAUAUCUUUCUCUGACCAUGGAAAGAAACUUUUCCUUUGUUUCACUUAGUUGAAAUAGUAUAUUCUCCUCAAGUCAUACCAUUCAAACAUUUUAUAUACAAGGACCCCAAUGGUCAUUGUUAGCAUUCUCAGUGCUACCUUUCAGCUCUAAGACCUUGGUUUCCCGACUCUUCAGGCACUGAACCAUAAGGCCAUUCUCCCCACAUUGAGACUUUGCCAUCACUCACAUUUUGUCAAGGCUUUAGGAACUAUAAAGAAUACUAUUCAGUCUUAAAAAAGAGGGAAAUUCUAUCAUUUGUGAUGAUGUGGUUGGAAUUGGAGAACAAUGCUAAGUGAAGUAAGUCAGGCAUGGAAGAUACCACAUGUUCUCCCUUAUAUGUAGAAUCUAAAACAACUGAACUCAGAAGCAGAGAACAGAAUCACCAUUCUACCCUGCAGAGGCUGGGGAUGGGGAGAUAAUAGUCAAAGGAUACAAAAUCUCAGAUGAGAGGAAUUUCUCUUUCUAGUUCUAUCACACAGCACGGUGAAUAUAGUUCAUGAGAGAAUACUAUACAUAUAAAACCGAAUGAGAAAGUAAUUUUCAAAUGUUCUUACCACAAAAGAUAUUAAGUAUUUGAGGUAAUGGAGAUGUUAACUACCUGGAUUUAAGUAUUCUGCAUUACAUUCAGAAAUCAUAAUAUCACUUUUUACCCUACAAAAUUAUACAAUUAUAAAUUGCCAAUUAACAAGUAGUAGUAGUAACAGUAGGUUAGUCGGUCAACCUUUUGAUCCUAUAAAGGGUGAAGAAACAUUUUAAGACUCCAGCUACUAAACCCGAC